GUGAAAUUGUUGAAAGGGAAGCGCUUGCAACCAGACCUGCCUGCAGUUGCUCAUCCGGGCUUUUGCCCGGUGCACUCUUCUGCUGUCAGGCCAGCAUCAGUUCGGGCGGUCGGAUAAAGGCUUCGGGAAUGUAGCUCCUCUCGAGGAGUGUUAUAGCCCGUUGCGAAAUGCGGCCAGCCUGAACUGAGGUCCGCGCUUCGGCUAGGAUGCUGGCGUAAUGGUUGUAAGCGGCCCGUCUUGAAACACGGACCAAGGAGUCUAACAUCUGUGCGAGUGUUUGGGUGUCAAACCCGUACGCGUAAUGAAAGUGAACGGAGGCGGGAACCCCUCGGGGUGCACCGUCGACCGAUCCUGAUGUCUUCGGAUGGAUUUGAGUAAGAGCAUAGCUGUUGGGACCCGAAAGAUGGUGAACUAUGCCUGAAUAGGGUGAAGCCAGAGGAAACUCCGGUGGAGGCUCGCAGCGGUUCUGACGUGCAAAUCGAUCGUCAAAUUUGGGCAUAGGGGCGAAAGACUAAUCGAACUAUCUAGUAGCUGGUUCCUGCCGAAGUUUCCCUCAGGAUAGCAGUAACGUUUUCAGUUUUAUGAGGUAAAGCGAAUGAUUAGAGGCCUGGGGGUUGAAACAACCUUCACCUAUUCUCAAACUUUAAAUAUGUAAGAAGUCCUUGUUGCUUAGUUGAACGUGGACAUUUGAAUGUAUCGUUACUAAUGGGCCAUUUUUGGUA
RNAcentral lists this ribosomal RNA (722 nucleotides) under uncultured Ascomycota. Its description in RNAcentral is "LSU rRNA". It matches the Rfam family "Eukaryotic large subunit ribosomal RNA", at positions 399 to 1142 of the family's 3401-position model. The record is from RNAcentral. Lineage: Eukaryota; Fungi; Ascomycota.